Molecule: ribosomal RNA, 253 nt
Filed under: uncultured bacterium
Lineage: Bacteria
Description: partial 16S ribosomal RNA
Rfam family: Bacterial small subunit ribosomal RNA
Source: RNAcentral
UACGUAGGGUGCAAGCGUUGUCCGGAAUUAUUGGGCGUAAAGCGCUUGUAGGCGGCACGUCAAGUCGCGUGUGAAAUCCCCAGGCUUAACCUGGGAAGUGCGCGCGAAACUGACGAGCUUGAGUGCCGGAGAGGGUCGCGGAAUUCCCGGUGUAGAGGUGAAAUUCGUAGAUAUUGGGAGGAACACCGGUGGCGAAGGCGGCCACCUGGGCCGGAACUGACGCUGAGGCGCGAAAGCGUGGGGAGCAAACGGG